This 511-nucleotide ribosomal RNA is filed under the name uncultured bacterium. RNAcentral's name for it is "bacterial SSU rRNA". It matches the Rfam family "Bacterial small subunit ribosomal RNA", at positions 1 to 508 of the family's 1533-position model. The record is from RNAcentral.
GAUUAGGGUUUGAUUAUGGCUCAGGAUGAACGCUAGCGGCAGGCUUAACACAUGCAAGUCGAGGGGUAACAGGGAUUGCUUGCAAUCCGCUGACGACCGGCGCACGGGUGCGUAACGCGUAUGCAACCUACCUUCUACAGGGGGAUAGUCAAUAGAAAUGUUGAAUAAUACCCCAUACGAUCUUUGAAUAGCAUUAUUUAAAGAAGAAAGCUCCGGCGGUAGAAGAUGGGCAUGCGUCCUAUUAGUUAGUUGGUAAGGUAACGGCUUACCAAGACUUCGAUAGGUAGGGGUCCUGAGAGGGAGACCCCCCACACUGGUACUGAGACACGGACCAGACUCCUACGGGAGGCAGCAGUGAGGAAUAUUGGACAAUGGAGGCAACUCUGAUCCAGCCAUGCCGCGUGCAGGAAGACUGCCCUAUGGGUUGUAAACUGCUUUUAUACAGGAAGAAAUGUACCUACGUGUAGGUAUUUGACGGUACUGUACGAAUAAGGAUCGGCUAACUCCGUGC